CAGUCGCCGCGGUAAUACAGAGGGUGCGAGCGUUAAUCGGAUUUACUGGGCGUAAAGCGUGCGUAGGCGGCUUCUUAAGUCGGAUGUGAAAUCCCUGAGCUUAACUUAGGAAUUGCAUUCGAUACUGGGAAGCUAGAGUAUGGGAGAGGAUGGUAGAAUUCCAGGUGUAGCGGUGAAAUGCGUAGAGAUCUGGAGGAAUACCGAUGGCAAAGGCAGCCAUCUGGCCUAAUACUGACGCUGAGGUACGAAAGCAUGGGGAGCAAACAGGAUUAGAUACCCCGGUAGUCCCUGUCUCUUAUAC
This 301-nucleotide ribosomal RNA is filed under the name uncultured bacterium. RNAcentral describes it as "partial 16S ribosomal RNA". It matches the Rfam family "Bacterial small subunit ribosomal RNA", at positions 509 to 807 of the family's 1533-position model. The record is from RNAcentral.